GUACUAUACAAUUGAAUCCUUAAAGAAAACUAUAUACGCAUUAAUUCUUGCACUGAAAGCUCAAUCAAAUCAACACCCAACAUUCAUUUCUCCAUUGUUAUAGGCGAUACAAAAGCAAUUGACUAUAACUCAAAUCCAGUGGCUGCUCCCAUUACCGAAACAGGGACGUUAACAUAACACUGGAAGAUUAACAUUAAUAUAUGAGUUCAUUCGUCUCUUUCCUUUACACACUGUUAUAAAGACUUUAAAAAGAAAAAGAAAAACAGAAUUCAGCUUUUGAGAAUUAAGCUAGCGUUCAUUUUGAUCUUACAAUUACAAUGGACAAUGGAAAUUAUCUUAUGAUCAAACGCGCAAAAACUUAAAACCAUAGAAGAAUCAAAUGAAAAUAACAAAACUCACAUAAAUUGCAACAGAAUGUAUUUAAGCAAAUAACUAAUUGGAACAUGUAAAGCAAUUUCAACCAAAAGAGCAAAUAAAGAGUUCAGGAACUAGUGUAAAUCUGAAUUAAUAUCGAACAAUAAGCAAAUCAAACAUAUACACUGAUUUCAGAUCCAGAAAUCAAACAAAUUGAAAUACGGACAGAAAUAAAACUCGAAACAACUAACCAGAUCGGAAUCACGAUGCCAACGGAAAACUAUCUUUGAUAUAUUAACUAAGAGAAAAUCGAACCAAGCUUUGUACAACAGGCAUGACUUUUGAGCUAAGAAAAACGAAGCCGGACAACCAUGUCAGAAUCAAAUCCACGAACAGGACCUUGGCCGACUGCUUCAACUCCGAAUCUCCAUAGCGUUUUAGAUAAUUGACUUGAAGAUGAAGAACAGAAUGCUUUUGAUUUUUUUUUUUUUUUGUGAAACACACAAUUUUCUUUAUGUCUUUCUCCCUCUCUGUCCGUUCUCUCUGCUUUGUGUGUGAAGUUUUAAACAAAGAUAAAACAACAGAAAGAGGAGAUCGAAAGUUUUGACCAAUUUAAUCCGAAUAUUCCUGCUCGAUCUAUCCCUAAAAUUCCCGUCCUUAUUUCGUUUCCCCUCUACUAUUUUUCGUUUUUCUCUUGCAAUUGCUGGUGGUUGACGAACGGAGAUGGUGUGAGGAAGAUGAGGUCGGGGGAAGGUCCUUUUUGGUGUAUUUUUUCCAGUCUUUUGUGUGUAGUUUUUCCUCCUUUUUUUGGUGAGAUGAGUGUCUAUUAUAUAAUAGUGUAUAGGGUGUACCUGGGAGAAGGUUUAUGUGAGGUAUUAUUUU
Molecule: long non-coding RNA, 1236 nt
Filed under: Nicotiana benthamiana
Lineage: Eukaryota; Viridiplantae; Streptophyta; Magnoliopsida; Solanales; Solanaceae
Description: long non-coding RNA (NBEN_LNC012191)
Source: RNAcentral